This 429-nucleotide ribosomal RNA is filed under the name Chloroflexota bacterium. RNAcentral's name for it is "Chloroflexi bacterium partial 16S ribosomal RNA". It matches the Rfam family "Bacterial small subunit ribosomal RNA", at positions 355 to 776 of the family's 1533-position model. The record is from RNAcentral. Lineage: Bacteria; Bacillati; Chloroflexota. RNAcentral also lists the same sequence under 1 other name.
UGGGGAAUAUUGCACAAUGGGCGCAAGCCUGAUGCAGCCAUGCCGCGUGUAUGAAGAAGGCCUUCGGGUUGUAAAGUACUUUCAGCGGGGAGGAAGGGAGUAAAGUUAAUACCUUUGCUCAUUGACGUUACCCGCAGAAGAAGCACCGGCUAACUCCGUGCCAGCAGCCGCGGUAAUACGGAGGGUGCAAGCGUUAAUCGGAAUUACUGGGCGUAAAGCGCACGCAGGCGGUUUGUUAAGUCAGAUGUGAAAUCCCCGGGCUCAACCUGGGAACUGCAUCUGAUACUGGAAAGCUUGAGUCUCGUAGAGGGGGGUAGAAUUCCAGGUGUAGCGGUGAAAUGCGUAGAGAUCUGGAGGAAUACCGGUGGCGAAGGCGGCCCCCUGGACGAAGACUGACGCUCAGGUGCGAAAGCGUGGGGAGCAAACAGG